Motacilla alba alba is the source of this 2219-nucleotide long non-coding RNA. RefSeq lists it as uncharacterized. The record is from RefSeq and is a predicted model, not a curated record. Lineage: Eukaryota; Metazoa; Chordata; Aves; Passeriformes; Motacillidae. The transcript has 3 exons.
CCAGCCCCACCUGGAUUCGCCUCAGCGGUGCCGCCUUCACGAGCGCCUGCUUUAAAACUCCUCGAAAAGCGCUUUAAGGUAGAAAACUUGGGUUCGAGACCAAAAAGUCGUGGGGCCAGUGCAGAAUGACAGCCGUAACUCUGGAUGUCUUCAUCAGCUGCUGCUGGCAACACCCUGACAAAAUAUCUGCCACCCAGAAAAGCACAUACUGUAAGUGUCUGUACCUGUGACUCACAGCUGCCCUGCCCAUUUGAGAUGUGAGUAAAGCACACCUGUUGCUGCUGGCCAUUCAAUACACCCCUCAAUUCCUGAUCUGUUAGUUCUGCUUCCUUCCUUUCUCCCAGCCAGCUGCCUGAACUUGCUCAAACUUGCUCAAACUGCUAUCGGGGCAGUUUGUCUGGAAGUUUAAGCUUGGUGUCCAUCAUAUCAUUAUUGUGCCCUGCCUGCUGGAUUCAGGUGUCCCGCAGCCUUUUGGUUUUCUGUCCUCAGCUUGGCACAUCAGUCUUGCCUCUGCACUUGAUUUAAUCUCUUCUGUGGGAUGCAAGAGCUUGGCAGAGUUCCCUCUCGUGCUGACUUUGUGCCAACCGCAGUGAAAAAAUAACGGUUUGGAAGAUAACUGUUUCUCAGCUUUCUUACACACACACAAACGGGCAGCUCCACGUGCUCCUAGCGAAGAGAGAGAACGUUGCAGUGUGAGCUCACAUGUUAGCAAAGCCAGAGAAUUCACACAGAAAGGAGACCUUAAAAUGCAUUAGCAAAGAAAAGGCUUCUGAAGAGCUGAAGUACAAAUUCCUAAGUGUAUUGGACACAGGGCACUUGUUGUAGGUGAUCAUGAGUAUUUAAAUGAGCUUUCCUUUUGUAACAAAUUGAGAAACUUCAAAAGCAAACUGAGAUCAUAGCUGAGUAAAUGCAUCUGCAGUAAUUGAGGCAUUAAGAAAGUAUUAUGGCAAGAUUUGUUACAAAAGCAGGGUGGAUUGUAAGGCUAGGACAAUGGUAAAAAAUUAACAAGAAAAUACUUCAAGUCCUUUCACAUUUUGCAGAAGCGAUUACUAUAGUCAGUUACUUAGGAGCAUACAUUUGAUUGGUGGGUCUAGUUUCCAUUUCUCCUAAUGAACAGUUCACAUGCAUCCUUGGGGAAUGGCAGUGACACUGAGCUGACAGUGAAAUAGAGUAUUUUCAACACAGAUUUUGUUGUACUCUUCCAUUGGCACCUACAAAACACCAACCACUAAACCUUAGGACACCUCAGUGAUGCCAGCCAGCACCUUGUCUGCCCCGUGAGGAGCCUGUCUGCCAGUCCUGUUUGUAGGAGCAGCGCGUUUCCUUUGCGGCGGAGCGGGCAGCGCCGGCCGCUCCGCUGCGCUCCGCCAGUGCCGCCGCUGCCGCUCUCCCCGCUCCGGGGCCGGGGCCGGGGUUAUGUAAAGAGCCGAGUUACGCAAGGAAUGCAGAUUUUCCCUUACGUAAGCGCCCGCCCCUGUCGGAGCCUUCCCUGUUCGUGCCGGCGCUGCCUAUACGUUAACGGAGGGAAAAGCGGUGCUGGCGGGGUUGGCGCAUCUCUGGCUCCAUCCACACUGACCUCUUCACUGCGGUGGCUCUUUCCACUCGCGUUUUGUGAAAAUCCCUCCUCUUCCUUAACCUGCAGGACAUUUCCUUCCAUUAAAAUAAACAGCACACAUACUGAAGUCGUAUUUAUGCCCUUUUCUGGGUCUAGGAAAGACUUUAUUAAUUCCCAGUUAUUGGAUGGAGUGAAGUUAAUCCAAUGCGGACAAAGGGAAGUUACAAAGUUCUGUGUAUCUCAAGCUCUAUGUUUCAGCUGCUGCCACAAUUGAAGGACCUGAUUCCAAUGCCUGUGUCCAAACACAGAUUUCUAAGUCACUUCAGUGCCAACAGGACUAGAAAAAAGAGCCCCAUAGCUCAGAACUCUGUCUUUAGCAGAUGUGAGGGAAGAUUGCAGGGAUGGUGAGGCCUGUUGCUGUUUGGUUGUCCCCUCAUGUGCAGGCAGAGCAUCAUCAGGAGGGAUCAUCACUUGGGAUACUUUCAUGGAGCAGUAGAUGCUGUCAGGGCUUCUGUGCGUGAUGCUUUACUCAGCUCCCUCUAUGCUGAUUUCUGAUCCUGCAGCUUUCCACACCUUUCCCUGAUUUAGUGACCCUGAUAAAUUGGGGUGGGUGGUUUGCUUGGGUAUUUUGUUUUUGUUUUUUUUUUUGGUUGGUUGUUUUUAU